UAAAUGCGAUACUUGGUGUGAAUUGCAGAAUCCCGUGAACCAUCGAGUCUUUGAACGCAAGUUGCGCCCGAAGCCAUUAGGCCGAGGGCACGUCUGCCUGGGCGUCACGCAUCGCGUCGCCCCCCCGCACAUCGAUCGAAUGUGGACGGGGGAGCGGAUACUGGCCUCCCGUGCCCCAUCGCGCGGGCGCGGUUGGCUCAAAACGGAGUCCCCUGCGGAGGACGCACGACGAGUGGUGGUUUAUAACUAGGCCUUCGCGUCCCGUCGUGUCCUGCGCCGGUGCUGGCUCGAGCGACCCUAAUGCGCCUCACGGUGCUUCGACCGCGACCCCAGGUCAGGCGGGACUACC
RNAcentral lists this ribosomal RNA (349 nucleotides) under Colensoa physaloides. RNAcentral describes it as "eukaryotic LSU rRNA". The stretch from base 1 to 107 matches the Rfam family "5.8S ribosomal RNA", at positions 50 to 154 of the family's 154-position model. Lineage: Eukaryota; Viridiplantae; Streptophyta; Magnoliopsida; Asterales; Campanulaceae. The record is from RNAcentral.